Molecule: long non-coding RNA, 1035 nt
Organism: Diuraphis noxia (Russian wheat aphid)
Lineage: Eukaryota; Metazoa; Arthropoda; Insecta; Hemiptera; Aphididae
Source: RefSeq, a predicted model, not a curated record
CUCGGGUGAGCUGCAGUCCCCAGUCGUAGACUGAAAGUCCAUACAUGGUGUCGUCGAGUUGGCGCUGGCGGCGGACGGUAGCAAGACAGCAGCAGCAGCAGCAACAACAACAACAACAAUAAUAAUAAUAAUAAUAAUAAUAAUAUCUACUGCAGAUCAAUAAAAGUGUUCGUGUUUUCUUUUCAUCGAUUCAUCGUUGCAUUUCGUCGCGCAAAAUUAUUGCACCGUAAUUCGUAUCAUUAUAUUAUAAUUGCGUACAGGUAGUUGCAAUACCUGCAGCGUGCAUUUCGGUGUAUGAUACAAUACAUAUUAAUAUACGCACAAAAGAAAAAUUAUCAACUAUAUGAUAUCAUAAUUCAUCGUGAAAAAGAGGAUAUUUUAAAAGUUCUUAUCAGUGUCUUCAACUAAGUUAUAUUUUUUAAUUUAAUCUCCUGUUGUUUUGUUUUUUAUAAAAUCAUAAUUAACAUGCAAGAACAUCCAACUGAUUGGCUUAUGAUCAUCGCAAUAUGUUUCAUAACUAGUUGUGUGUUAAUUGGUAUACUGUGUGUUGUUUGUUGUUUUUGGUCUAAAUGCUUAUUAUUCAAUUGUUGCCGACCAGUUUAUAACAACACUUUUAUUAUAAGUUAUGAUAAACCGGAUGAUGAAUCAUUGAACUUACCACCAGAAGACACAAAUAACAGUACUUGUUAUUCACCAGUACAAAUGAAAAAAAUAAAACCAUUUGAAGACUUUUAAGAAUGAUAAACGCUUAUGUUGCUUUUAAUAUGUGACAACAAAAAAAAAUUGUCAAAAUGCAACGAAUGUUCCUGAUCUCAGUAUUACCUACAUAGUACAUAUACAAAUAAAUCAUAAUAAUAAGACAAGAUUCAGAAGUCAACAAAGAUAUUUCAUUUAUUCAAAAACAAACAAUAUUUUAACAAUUGAUUAAUAUAUCGAUGAACUAUAAAGAUCUCAGUAAUAAAUACUAUUGUUAUUUGUUAGGUAGGUACUGGUGUAUGUUGUAUUAUUAUACUACAUACCCACUUACUUUUGACU